Non-coding RNA from Amborella trichopoda, 94 nucleotides. The record is from Rfam. NCBI's taxonomy places the organism in Eukaryota, Viridiplantae, Streptophyta, Magnoliopsida, Amborellales, Amborellaceae.
UCACCCACCCGUUUUUCCCAUUAGAUCUUGUUUGUUGUAAUGGUGAUCGGCCUUGCUGACCAUUCUGAUAUAUCACCACCCAUAUUCUGGGUUC